UACGUAGGUGGCAAGCGUUAUCCGGAAUUAUUGGGCGUAAAGAGCGCGCAGGUGGUUGAUUAAGUCUGAUGUGAAAGCCCACGGCUUAACCGUGGAGGGUCAUUGGAAACUGGUCGACUUGAGUGCAGAAAAGGGAAGUGGAAUUUCAUGUGUAGCGGUGAAAUGCGUAGAGAUAUGGAGGAACACCAGUGGCGAAGGCGGCUUCCUGGUCUGUAACUGACACUGAGGCGCGAAAGCGUGGGGAGCAAACAGGAUUAGAUACCCU
This 265-nucleotide ribosomal RNA is filed under the name uncultured prokaryote. Its description in RNAcentral is "partial 16S ribosomal RNA". It matches the Rfam family "Bacterial small subunit ribosomal RNA", at positions 524 to 788 of the family's 1533-position model. The record is from RNAcentral.